GCAUAUCACUAAGCGGAGGAAAAGAAACUAACAAGGAUGCGCUUAGUAACGGCGAGCGAACCGCGCAAAGCCCAA
This 75-nucleotide ribosomal RNA is filed under the name Coelastrum astroideum var. rugosum. Its description in RNAcentral is "partial 26S ribosomal RNA". It matches the Rfam family "Eukaryotic large subunit ribosomal RNA", at positions 38 to 112 of the family's 3401-position model. The record is from RNAcentral. Lineage: Eukaryota; Viridiplantae; Chlorophyta; Chlorophyceae; Sphaeropleales; Scenedesmaceae.